Molecule: ribosomal RNA, 266 nt
Filed under: uncultured prokaryote
Description: partial 16S ribosomal RNA
Rfam family: Bacterial small subunit ribosomal RNA
Source: RNAcentral
UACGUAGGGUGCGAGCGUUGUCCGGAAUUAUUGGGCGUAAAGAGCGCGCAGGUGGUUGAUUAAGUCUGAUGUGAAAGCCCACGGCUUAACCGUGGAGGGUCAUUGGAAACUGGUCGACUUGAGUGCAGAAGAGGGAAGUGGAAUUCCAUGUGUAGCGGUGAAAUGCGUAGAGAUAUGGAGGAACACCAGUGGCGAAGGCGGCUUCCUGGUCUGUAACUGACACUGAGGCGCGAAAGCGUGGGGAGCAAACAGGAUUAGAUACCCCU